Molecule: ribosomal RNA, 253 nt
Filed under: uncultured bacterium
Lineage: Bacteria
Description: partial 16S ribosomal RNA
Rfam family: Bacterial small subunit ribosomal RNA
Source: RNAcentral
GACGUAGGGCGCAAGCGUUGUCCGGAUUUAUUGGGCGUAAAGAGCUCGUAGGUGGCUUGUCGCGUCGACUGUGAAAACCCGCGGCUUAACUGUGGGACUGCAGUCGAUACGGGCUAGCUAGAGUUCGGUAGGGGAGACUGGAAUUCCUGGUGUAGCGGUGAAAUGCGCAGAUAUCAGGAGGAACACCGGUGGCGAAGGCGGGUCUCUGGGCCGAUACUGACGCUGAGGAGCGAAAGCGUGGGGAGCGAACAGG